CCUACGGGGGGCAGCAGUGAGGAAUAUUGGUCAAUGGGCGGAAGCCUGAACCAGCCAAGUCGCGUGAGGGAAUAAGGCCCUACGGGUCGUAAACCUCUUUUGCCGGGGAGCAAGGGCCGGGACGCGUCCCGGCCCGGAGAGUACCCGGAGAAAAAGCAUCGGCUAACUCCGGGCCAGCAGCCGCGGUAAUACGGAGGAUGCGAGCGUUAUCCGGAUUUAUUGGGGUUAAAGGGUGCGUAGGCGGGCUUUUCAGUCAGCGGUAAAAAUUCGGGGCUCAACCCCGUCCGGCCGUUGAAACUGGGGGCCUUGAGUGGGCGAGAAGAAGGCGGAAUGCGUGGUGUAGCGGUGAAAUGCAUAGAUAUUGCGCAGAACUCCGAUUGCGAAGGCAGCAUACCGGCGGCGAUCUGACGCUGAGGCACGAAAGCGUGGGUAUCGAACAGGAUUAGGUACCCCUGUAGUC
Molecule: ribosomal RNA, 460 nt
Filed under: uncultured bacterium
Lineage: Bacteria
Description: partial 16S ribosomal RNA
Rfam family: Bacterial small subunit ribosomal RNA
Source: RNAcentral